CCUACGGGAGGCAGCAGUGGGGAAUAUUGCACAAUGGGGGAAACCCUGAUGCAGCGACGCCGCGUGAAGGAAGAAGUAUUUCGGUAUGUAAACUUCUAUCAGCAGGGAAGAAAGUGACGGUACCUGACUAAGAAGCCCCGGCUAACUACGUGCCAGCAGCCGCGGUAAUACGUAGGGGGCAAGCGUUAUCCGGAUUUACUGGGUGUAAAGGGAGCGUAGGCGGCGAUGCAAGUCAGAAGUGAAAGCCCGGGGCUCAACUCCGGGACUGCUUUUGAAACUGUAUGGCUAGAUUGCAGGAGAGGCAAGUGGAAGUCCUGGGGGAGCGGUGAAAUGCGGCGAUAUUAGGAGGAAAACCAGGGGCGAAGGAGGCUUGCUGGACUGUAAAUGACGCGGAGGCUCG
This 400-nucleotide ribosomal RNA is filed under the name uncultured bacterium. RNAcentral describes it as "partial 16S ribosomal RNA". It matches the Rfam family "Bacterial small subunit ribosomal RNA", at positions 338 to 755 of the family's 1533-position model. The record is from RNAcentral.